RNAcentral lists this ribosomal RNA (581 nucleotides) under Lulworthia cf. purpurea CBS 21960. Its description in RNAcentral is "eukaryotic LSU rRNA". It matches the Rfam family "Eukaryotic large subunit ribosomal RNA", at positions 41 to 646 of the family's 3401-position model. The record is from RNAcentral. Lineage: Eukaryota; Fungi; Ascomycota; Sordariomycetes; Lulworthiales; Lulworthiaceae.
UAUCAAUAAGCGGAGGAAAAGAAACCAACAGGGAUUGCCUCAGUAACGGCGAGUGAAGCGGCAACAGCUCAAAUUUGAAAUCUGGCCUCGGCCCGAGUUGUAAUUUGCAGAGGAUGCUUCUGGCAACGUGCCUUCCGAGUCCCCUGGAACGGGGCGCCGGAGAGGGUGAGAGCCCCGUACGGUUGGACGCCGCGCCUGUGUGAAGCUCCUUCGACGAGUCGAGUAGUUUGGGAAUGCUGCUCUAAGCGGGAGGUAAAUUCCUUCUAAAGCUAAAUACCGGCCAGAGACCGAUAGCGCACAAGUAGAGUGAUCGAAAGAUGAAAAGCACUUUGGAAAGAGGGUUAAAAAGUACGUGAAAUUGCUGAAAGGGAAGCGCCUGCGACCAGACUCGCGCCGGGCGAAUCAUCCAGCGUUCUCGCUGGUGCACUUCGCCCGGUCCGGGCCAGCAUCGGUUCUGACGGGGGGACAAAAGCCCGGGAAAUGUAGCUCCCUCCGGGGAGUGUUAUAGUCCCUCGCCUAAUACCCCCGCCGGGACCGAGGACCGCGCUUACGCAAGGAUGCUGGCAUAAUGGUCGUCGGCG